AUAUUUCAGGUGAAGGCAAUUUUGUUACUUUUGGCUCUUCCAUGUGUAUAAAUACAGUAUUAUUUUGCUGUGUGCAUAUAUAUACAUAUAUACAUACAUACACAAAAGAUCACAUCAACUCCCAUAAGAGAAUUGAUUGACCCUAACUUGAGGCCAAAGCUUGGAUUUAGGUAAUAAAUCACAAAAGCUUGGAUUUAGGUAAUAAAUCACAACCAACCAAGUUACAAGAAAAUGCAACUUUACCAUUGGAACUCAACGAGAACAAACUAAAAUCUUUUUAAGUAUAUCAACAGACA
RNAcentral lists this long non-coding RNA (296 nucleotides) under Musa acuminata (dwarf banana). RNAcentral describes it as "long non-coding RNA (MACU_LNC002170)". The record is from RNAcentral. Lineage: Eukaryota; Viridiplantae; Streptophyta; Magnoliopsida; Zingiberales; Musaceae.